This 450-nucleotide ribosomal RNA is filed under the name uncultured bacterium. RNAcentral describes it as "partial 16S ribosomal RNA". It matches the Rfam family "Bacterial small subunit ribosomal RNA", at positions 354 to 796 of the family's 1533-position model. The record is from RNAcentral.
GUGGGGAAUAUUGGACAAUGGGCGAAAGCCUGAUCCAGCCAUGCCGCGUGUGUGAAGAAGGUCUUCGGAUUGUAAAGCACUUUAAGUUGGGAGGAAGGGUAGUAACCUAAUACGUUGCUACUUUGACGUUACCGACAGAAUAAGCACCGGCUAACUUCGUGCCAGCAGCCGCGGUAAUACGAAGGGUACAAGCGUUAAUCGGAAUUACUGGGCGUAAAGCGCGCGUAGGUGGUUCAGUAAGUUGGAAGUGAAAUCCCCGGGCUCAACCUGGGAACUGCUUUCAAAACUGCUGAGCUAGAGUACGGUAGAGGGUGGUGGAAUUUCCUGUGUAGCGGUGAAAUGCGUAGAUAUAGGAAGGAACACCAGUGGCGAAGGCGACCACCUGGACUGAUACUGACACUGAGGUGCGAAAGCGUGGGGAGCAAACAGGAUUAGAUACCCGGGUAGUCC